UGGAAACAGAAAACAAGUAAUGACCCUUCUCUGCAGGGCAGGAAGCCUAGACCAAAAGCUGGGUAAUGUGAUCCGAGCUACGGUAGCCAUUUGAAGACUCUGAGGACAAACUGUACCCCCGGAUUUGCUUGAGCUUCCCUUGCCUUCUGGUUGGUACACACCAGGUCACCACAACCCAGAUGGGCCUGCAGCCCACAGUACAGUAUGUACCUCGAUCUCCUCUCCCCUCUCGUCGGGGCCUGCAACAUGAGCAUCCCUGACUACGUGCAGUGUGCUGAGGACCACCAGACUUUCCCCAUGGUGGUCGAACACGUGGGGAUCAUUUCAGAGGAGAAUUUCUUUUGCAUCUAUAAGUGAAUCACCUUGGUGAGUCAGAUCAGUCCGUGCGGCUCCCAGUGGGCAAUCUGUAUCCACUACAGGCACCACUAUGCGCCCAAGAAUGGGUGGAGCGUCUUCCAGACCCACCGCAAGGUCUUGGGCCUUGUCAUCAUUACUGACUGCCUCUCGGCCAAGGUUUCGAGAAGCUCCACGUGCAGAGGAGCUGUAUGGCACCACGCUCUAUGACUCUCAGCUCUUUGACUUUCUGCUGCAUGGGGAGGUGGCCGAGCAGCCGCGCACCGAAGUGGCCUUCAAUUUACGAGGACUGCAGGGUGGUGGAGAAGAGGAUCGAGGACUUCACUGAGUCACUCUUCAUCUUGCCUAAGUCCAAGUGGCUGGACGGUGCAUCCGACAAUUUUGGGGACAAGAUCCUCCUUCUCUGCAUCCCAUUUGAGAAGGAGGACAUCAUGGGACUGGACACAGAAAGCAGUACGUUUUGGUUACUGAGUCCCUCGAAUUCCCAUAUGAAUAGUAGCAGCAGCUAGUCAGUUACUGCAGAGGAGCCCGCUGGGAUUGUGAUCGAGACCACGUUGAGUAUACAGAUCGCUCUGGGGAGCACUGCCAUCCCAAGAGCGCUGUCAUCUGAUCCAGGAAUGUGCGUGGUGUGUCUGUCCAGGGGAAAAGAGUACAAUUCAAAAAUAUAAAGAUUGUGAGCUAAUGAGAUAGACAAGACAACCGAACAUUUGUUAAAUAUCCUUUCAUGCCGGAAACAAAUGUAUUAUACACACAAAAAGCACACAAAUCACGGUAGUACUGCGGUUACAAACGUGGGUCCGAGUUCGAGUCCUGCUCUGGAGUGACCAGUCCUGUGAGAUGGA
Molecule: long non-coding RNA, 1196 nt
Organism: Camelus dromedarius (Arabian camel)
Lineage: Eukaryota; Metazoa; Chordata; Mammalia; Artiodactyla; Camelidae
Exons: 3
Source: RefSeq, a predicted model, not a curated record